AAUCCCAGUUUCUUGUGUAUUAAAGUAUAGAAGCCUCGCCUUUUACUAGACGAUUCCGUGAAUGUGGAAUGGUUUGGGACUAAUAAAAUUUCGGCAACUCUUACUUAGUAGGGUA
This 115-nucleotide small nuclear RNA is filed under the name Smittium mucronatum. RNAcentral's name for it is "U5 spliceosomal RNA". It matches the Rfam family "U5 spliceosomal RNA". Rfam says of the family: U5 RNA is a component of both types of known spliceosome. The record is from Rfam by way of RNAcentral. Lineage: Eukaryota; Fungi; Kickxellomycota; Harpellomycetes; Harpellales; Legeriomycetaceae.